RNAcentral lists this small nucleolar RNA (142 nucleotides) under Carlito syrichta (Philippine tarsier). RNAcentral's name for it is "Small nucleolar RNA SNORA67 (ENSTSYG00000035323.1)". It matches the Rfam family "Small nucleolar RNA SNORA67". From Rfam's summary of the family: U67 belongs to the H/ACA class of snoRNAs which are thought to guide the sites of modification of uridines to pseudouridines. The record is from Rfam by way of RNAcentral. Lineage: Eukaryota; Metazoa; Chordata; Mammalia; Primates; Tarsiidae.
CACCAUGCCUGACUCCCCCCCUCCCCAUUGGAAUCAACCCAUCCCCCUCUUCGUAAAGUAGCAACUUGGAAUAGACUGGCCUAAGGUCUUUGGGAGGCAGGGGAUGCUUACUUCCUUUGCCUUCCUUUGGCUGCCUAUAUGC